ACACCAGUGGCGUAAUGGAUAGCGCAGUGCCUUCCUAAGGCAACGGUUGUGGGUUCGAGUCCCAUCUGGUGUA
Molecule: non-coding RNA, 73 nt
Organism: Hepatocystis sp. ex Piliocolobus tephrosceles
Lineage: Eukaryota; Apicomplexa; Aconoidasida; Haemosporida; Plasmodiidae
Source: the annotation of a GenBank genome assembly